AAACAGUUACCAGUGAAACACUUGAAGGUUUCAGUCUUAUCUUGCACGUCCUAAGGUUCUGUGGACUCAAAGUGAUUUGCAGACAUCCUCAACGGUGAGGCUCAUGGUGACCACUCAGUGCUCUUACCAUGCAUCCAUCCAGAUCCCUCUGUCCCACCGG
This 160-nucleotide long non-coding RNA is filed under the name Ornithorhynchus anatinus (platypus). Its description in RNAcentral is "lncRNA (ENSOANG00000049625.1)". The record is from RNAcentral. Lineage: Eukaryota; Metazoa; Chordata; Mammalia; Monotremata; Ornithorhynchidae.